CCUACGGGAGGCUGCAGUGGGGAAUAUUCCACAAUGGGGGAAACCCUGAUGCAGCGACGCCGCGUGAGUGAAGAAGUAUUUCGGUAUGUAAAGCUCUAUCAGCAGGGACGAAAAAAGACGGUACCUGACUAAGAAGCCCCGGCUAACUACGUGCCAGCGGCCGCGGCAAGACGUAGGGGGCAAGCGUUAUCCGGAUUCACUGGGUGUAAAGUGAGCGUAGACGGCUGUGCAAGCCUGAAGUGAAAGGCGGGGGCCCAACCCGUGUACUGCAUUGGGAACUGGACGGCUGGAGUGCAGGAGAGGGAAGUGGAAUUCCUAGUGUAGCGGUGAAAUGCGUAGAUAUUAGGAGGAACACCAGUGGCGAAGGCGGCUUACUGGACUGUAACUGACGUUGAGGCUCGAAAGCGUGGGGAGCAAACAGGAUUAGAUACCCGAGUAGUC
Molecule: ribosomal RNA, 441 nt
Filed under: uncultured bacterium
Lineage: Bacteria
Description: partial 16S ribosomal RNA
Rfam family: Bacterial small subunit ribosomal RNA
Source: RNAcentral